RNAcentral lists this long non-coding RNA (908 nucleotides) under Jatropha curcas. RNAcentral describes it as "long non-coding RNA (JCUR_LNC000841)". Lineage: Eukaryota; Viridiplantae; Streptophyta; Magnoliopsida; Malpighiales; Euphorbiaceae. The record is from RNAcentral.
UAAUUUGGAACUUGUACACCGUGUGCACUUAUUUUGAACUUGUACACUAUGUGCACUUAUUUUCUAUAUGUAUGAUAAAAUAUCACCCACCUCUACCUGGUCCGCCGCCGGGUGAACCACGAUCGCCCACUCCAAUUUUACUUUCUCCAAUAACCCUUAGGUUCUCUUUAUUUUCAUCUGCAACUACCAACUAAAUAAGAAAUUCAUGGUUCGAAUAUUUAGUAUCUUUACAUCAAAAAGUAAAUAUCAGUAUUAUUACUAGAACUCAAACUAGAAGUAGAAGAGAGAAGAGAGAGCCUUACUGAUUUUGGGGACUUGAGAGUUAUUCGAGCAAUAGCAAUAUUAUAAGAUGCAAACAAAAUGAGGAAAAGGAUUGGGAUAGCAUAGGAAGCCAUUUUAGCCAUUUCAAUUACUUUCUUCUAUUAAAAGAGAAGAGUAAUCGCGGCAUAUCAAUUCCUUCAUCACCAUUAUAUACUUUUAAUUCAUUAAAGAUUUUAAAGUUUUAAAAUUGAUAAAUUUCAUUAUAUCCUAAAUUCGAUUAUUUUAAAAGAAAAAAAUUUCACAUCAAACAAACAGGGAGAAUUCUCAAUUCUUUCAUUUUCUUUAUUAACCAUGGAAUUUGACUACUUGAUAUUAUUUCAAAAUACAUUUCAGUGCCUAUGGUAUUUAUUUCCCAACCAAUCAAAUGUAAAAUUUAUAAAUUUUUACAUUUACCCUCAUCGAUGCUAUUAAUCUCAAAGAAUUUCCUUUAUAAUUUAAAUCAAAGAAAGAAAGAAAAAAGGAAAAAGAAACAAAGAGAAAUACUCACUUGUUCUGUGGAGUUGGUUUGGUCUUGCAAAGGCAAUAUCGGAGGUGAACAAAACGAGCAAAAGAAUCAUACCAGAAACCAUAAGGGAGGCCUUGCGAAC